Molecule: ribosomal RNA, 459 nt
Filed under: uncultured bacterium
Lineage: Bacteria
Description: partial 16S ribosomal RNA
Rfam family: Bacterial small subunit ribosomal RNA
Source: RNAcentral
CCUACGGGUGGCAGCAGUGAGGAAUAUUGGUCAAUGGGCGCGAGCCUGAACCAGCCAAGUCGCGUGAGGGAAGACGGUCCUAUGGAUUGUAAACCUCUUUUGUCGGGGAGCAAAAGACGCCACGCGUGGCGUUCCGAGAGUACCCGAAGAAAAAGCAUCGGAUAACUCCGUGCCGGCAGCCAGGGUUAUACGGAGGAUGCGAGCGUUAUCCGGAUUUUUUGGGUUUAAAGGGUGCGCAGGGGGAAGAUCAAGUCAGGGGUAAAAUUAGGGGGCCCAACCUCGUAGAGCCGUUGAAACUGGUUUUCUUGAGUGAGCGAGAAGUAUGCGGAAUGCGUGGUGUAGCGGUGAAAUGCAUAGAUAUCACGCAGAACUCCGAUUGCGAAGGCAGCAUACCGGCGCGCAACUGACGCUCAUGCACGAAAGUGUGGGUAUCGAACAGGAUUAGAUACCCCUGUAGUC